RNAcentral lists this unclassified non-coding RNA (3715 nucleotides) under Haliotis rufescens (red abalone). RNAcentral describes it as "uncharacterized LOC124116473, transcript variant X3". The record is from RNAcentral. Lineage: Eukaryota; Metazoa; Mollusca; Gastropoda; Lepetellida; Haliotidae.
AAUAGUUGGAAUAUUGCUGAGUGCGGCGUUAAACAACAAACAAACAUGUACAGUUACUUUCCUUUAAAAUUUAAUUCAUGUAUUGAUGCCCUUCGAUGUCCCUACAGAAUGAGACGAGGUCAGAGGUUACAGCGUCUUUCCCAACUCAUCAUCUUCCUCUGCUUCAUCUCCUCCAUGACUGUAGUCUACGUCGCCAUGACAACAAAUUACAAGGCCCGGUGGGCCCAUGUUAUUCACAGGGACAUCCGUCAAUUACUAAAGGACCAUGAAGCUAUACAUUACAGCACGGACGGCUUGGAACCAGAAGUGAUGAACGCUCUGGAACGACGGUUUGCUGGCAGAAGGAAGAUAUAUGACUGGGCAUGCGCAAAGGCAGGGUCUUUCCUUCAUGGUGUUGCCAUGCCAACAAACGUCAAACAAGAUGGACGGAAGACCUACAUUCAACAUAAUGUCACAAUGUGUUUUGUUGAAAAGGUUGGCUCCAUGUUUUGGGGUCGCUAUUUCAAUGCAUUUGAACAAUCAACAGUCGGUAAUAUCCAGCCAAGUGUCGCAACGUGGAAACUGUCGGAGGAAGAAUAUGGCGCAACUUUGAAAAUAGCGUUUGUCAGAAACCCAUACUCAAGACUCCUAUCUGGAUACGUUGAUAAGAUCUUCUCGACCAAUCCGGACUAUAUGCGCAUCAUGGGCAGACAUAUCAUACAGGAUAUCCGGUUCAAAGGGCAGAAGCGUCCGAAUAUUCAGUGCGGGAUAGAUGCAACUUUCGCUGAAUUUGUGGAGUAUAUUUUAUAUCAAUAUGAAAGUAAACAGAGCAUUAACAAUCAUUUCAAACCCAUCCACCAUAGAUGUGCGUUUUGUCGAAUGAAGUAUGAUUACAUUGGGAAAAUGGAAACGUUUCUUGAGGAUAUGAUGUUCGUGAGUAAACGGAUCGGAGCGCUGAAACACAACCGAACCAGUGACGUCAUCCGGAAAGAGGGUUUCCAUGGCAUCGAGGAAAUGAUGUACAGAAAUUCUUACAAUAUUUUUACAAGUAGAUUAAAGGGUAUCUUAGACUGUGGGGUCUCGUUACGAGAGGCCCUAAAGCUGACUUGGAGACGAUGGAAGAUCAGAGGGUUUCUUGAAACCAAGUUUGAGUUUCCGUUCCGUGAUGACGACAGGGACCUGACCUCGGAACGGCUUCAUGCAUAUGCUGUCAUGGCGCGGGCGUCAUCAGAUCCCAAGACGUUGUCAAAGGCAAAGAAAGCGGCGCUACGAGAGGCCUACAGCACUUUGACUCUUCAAACGAAAUUGAAACUUAAAAGUAUGUUUGAGCCUCAGUUUGAAAUGUUUGGAUACGAAGCUAUGCCUGAAAGUGUGUUUGGUAGUUUUGAACAAUCAGAGUCUGAUUUUAGAUUCUUUGAUGUGAGAGGUAUUUUUGAAAAAAAAUCAUGAAUCCGGAUAUGCGGCUGCUCUGAAGGCGAGGGUUGUAUGUGUAAACAAUUGUCUGUAUGCCAGUAUUUCAAUAUGCGUAGGGUGCCAGUAUUUCAAUAUGCGUAUGUCAAUGUGCAAAGAUGUGAAUGCAUGCCAACAUGCGUAUGUCAAGGUGCAAAGCUGUGAAUGCAUGUCAAUGUGCAUAGUUGUGAAUGCAUGCCAAUAUGCGUAUGCCAAGGUGCAAAGCUGUGAAUGCAUGCCAACAUGCGUAUGUCAAGGUGCAAAGCUGUGAAUGCGUGCCAUAAUGCGUAUGUCAAUGUGCAAAGCUGUGAAUGCAUGACAACAUGCGUAUGUCAAGGUGCAAAGAUGUGAAUACAUGCACAUAUGUGUAUGUCAAUGUGCAAAGCUGUGAAUGCAUGACAAUAUGCGUAGGUCAAGGUGCAAAGAUGUGAAUGCAUGCCAAAAUGCGUAUGUCAAGGUGCAAAGCUGCGAAUGCAUGCCAAUAUGCGUAUGUCAAGGUGCAAAGCUGCGAAUGCAUGCCACGAUGCGUAUGUCAAGAUGCAAAGCUGUGAAUGCAUGCCACUAUGCGUAGGUCAAGAUGCAAAGCUGUGAAUGUAUGCCACUAUGCGUAUGUCAAGAUGCAAAGCUGUGAAUUUAUGCCACUAGGCGAAUGUCAAGAUGCAAAGCUGUGAAUGCAUGCCACUAUGCGUAUGUCAAGAUGCAAAGCUGUGAAUGUAUGCCACUAUGCGUAUGUCAAGAUUCAAAGCUGUGAAUGUAUGCCACUAUGCGUAUGUCAAGAUGCAAAGCUGCGAAUGCAUGCCACUAUGCGUAUGUCAAGAUGCAAAGCUGCGAAUGUAUGCCACUAUGCGUAUGUCAAGAUGCAAAGCUGUGAAUGCAUGCCCCUAUGCGUAUGUCAAGAUGCAAAGCUGCGAAUGCAUGCCACUAUGCGUAUGUCAAGAUGCAAAGCUGCGAAUGUAUGCCACUAUGCGUAUGUCAAGAUGCAAAGCUGUGAAUGUAUGCCACUAUGCGUAUGUCAAGAUGCAAAGCUGUGAAUGUAUGCCACUAUGCGUAUGUCAAGAUGCAAAGCUGCGAAUGCAUGCCACUAUGCGUAUGUCAAGAUGCAAAGUUGUGAAUGCAUGCCACUAUGCGUAUGUCAAGAUCCAAAGCUACGAAUGCAGGCCACUAUGCGUAUGUCAAGAUGCAAAGCUGUGAAUGUAUGCCACUAUGCGUAUGUCAAGAUGCAAAGCUGUGAAUGCAUGCCACUAUGCGUAUGUCAAGAUGCAAAGCUGUGAAUGUAUGCCACUAUGCGUAUGUCAAGAUGCAAAGCUGCGAAUGCAUGCCACUAUGCGUAUGUCAAGAUGCAAAGCUGUGAAUGCAUGCCACUAUGCGUAUGUCAAGAUGCAAAGCUACGAAUGCAUGCCACUAUGCGUAUGUCAGGGUGCAAAGCUGUGAAUGCAUGCCACUAUGCGUAUGUCAAGAUGCAAAGCUGCGAAUGUAUGCACAACUGCGUAUGUCAGGGUGCAAAGCUGUGAAUGUAUGCCACUAUGCGUAUGUCAAGGUUCAUAGUUGUGAAUGUAUGCACACAUGCCCUUGUCAAGGUGCAAAGCUGUGAAUGUAUGCCACUAUGCGUAUGUCAAGAUGCAAAGCUGCGAAUGUAUGCACAACUGCGUAUGUCAAGAUGCAAAGCUGUGAAUGCAUGCCACUAUGCGUAUGUCAAGAUGCAAAGCUGCGAAUGUAUGCACAACUGCGUAUGUCAGGGUGCAAAGCUGUGAAUGUAUGCCCCUAUGCGUAUGUCAAGGUUCAUAGUUGUGAAUGUAUGCACAUAUGCCCUUGUCAAGGUGCAAAGCUGUGAAUGUAUGCACAACUGCGUAUGUCAGGGUGCAAAGCUGUGAAUGAAUGCCAAUAUGUGUAUGUCAAGGUGCAUAGUUGUGAAUGUAUGAACAUAUGCCCUUGUCAAGGUGCAAAGCUGUGAAUGUAUGCACAUAUGCGUAUGUAAAGGUGCAUAGUUGUAAAUGCAUGCCAAUAUGCGUAUGUCAAUGUGCAUAGUUGUGAAUUCAUGCCAAUAUGCGUAUGUCAAAGUGCAAAGCUGUGAAUGCGUGCCAAUAUGCGAAAGUCAAGGUGCAAAGCUGUGAAUGCAUGACAAUAUGCGUAUGUCAAGGUGCAGAUCUGUGAAGGCCUGCCAAUAUGCGUAGGACAGGUACAUAGUCUGAUUUUUAAUUGUAUUUUUUACGUUCUGAUAUUACAUGUAUAUUAGUGUUAUUGUUUCAUAUGCAGUGUAAUUAUAGAAUAUAUGAAGAAAUAAAGAGUA